AUUGAACGCUGGCGGCAUGCCUUACACAUGCAAGUCGAACGGCAGCACGGGAGCAAUCCUGGUGGCGAGUGGCGAACGGGUGAGUAAUAUAUCGGAACGUGCCCAGUCGUGGGGAUAACGUAGCGAAAGCUACGCUAAUACCGCAUACGAUCUAUGGAUGAAAGCGGGGGAUCGCAAGACCUCGCGCGAUUGGAGCGGCCGAUAUCAGAUUAGGUAGUUGGUGAGGUAAAGGCUCACCAAGCCGACGAUCUGUAGCUGGUCUGAGAGGACGACCAGCCACACUGGGACUGAGACACGGCCCAGACUCCUACGGAGGCAGCAGUGGGGAAUUUUGGACAAUGGGCGCAAGCCUGAUCCAGCAAUGCCGCGUGCAGGAUGAAGGCCUUCGGUUGUAACUAGCUUUGUACGGU
RNAcentral lists this ribosomal RNA (410 nucleotides) under uncultured bacterium. Its description in RNAcentral is "bacterial SSU rRNA". It matches the Rfam family "Bacterial small subunit ribosomal RNA", at positions 30 to 443 of the family's 1533-position model. The record is from RNAcentral.